AUGGCACCCACAGCGCCGCCGUCCCACGGCGCAGCCACGAGGCUGCAGUGCUGGGGGGCAGCGAUGGUGGGAGCUGAGCAGCACCGCAUCCACUGCCCCCCCCGGCGCAGCCAUCACCGUGGCGCAGCCGCCGUCCUCCAUCACCGACCGCCUCUGUUGGAUGAUUUAAGGACCUCCUCACGGAGCUGUGCUCACAACACACAUCUGACGCCGCGGCGCCGGGGGGCUCCGGCCGUCUGUCCCCCUCCUCCGCCACGGGCUGGAGGCACCGCAGGGAUCCUCGGCACUGAGGAGGGCACCGCGCGCCCCGGGAGCCCCUCACAGCAGAAUCCGGGCUUGGGGGGGGCUACCAGCAGCACCCAGAGGUGCCGGGCAUAUGGGGGGGCAGCCCUCCUCAGCCCCACAGGGAUGGGUGACGGUGGGGACGUGAGGGGCGCACGCAGCCCCGUGGAGCAGUGGGAGCCCCCCCAGCCUGAACAGUGGAGACAACAGUCCCAGCUGUGCACCAGAUGUUCUGCAGGCAGCCCCCAGUCAUCACCUCCAUCCCAUCACCCUGCAGCCCCACAACCCCACCGUCAAACAGCCCCACAGCCCUGGCACCCGGUGUGGGAAAGCGCCCGUGGGGCCGCGUGCUGUGCUGGGCUGUGCUGCAGGCGGACAGACACACAGACAGCACUCCUGUGCCACCGCAGGGGGAGGGGAUGGGGCCGUCCAGGUGACACGGGAUGGGCACCGUGGGGAUGCAAAGGCAGAAGCGUCCUGGGGUGCUCCAGCGCUGCACCCACUGUAACGCACAGGACGCCCCACAUGGCCGUGGGGCAGCGCAGCCCCCCAGGACACGGCUGUGCCUCAGUUUCCCCGCAGCUCCCGGAGCAGCACAGCCUGCAGGCACAGCAGCACAGUGACAGCAGCCACAGCCACGGGGUGACACAGCGGAGCUCCCGGGGGAAACCGAGGCAGGGCCGAGCUGUGGGGACACAGCAGUGGGGCACAGCGCCAGGACACGGGCAGCCCCACAGCUCACAGCACCGCGGGCAGCAAAGGGGCACUGCGGGCCUGCGGGAGGGCUGA
This 1071-nucleotide long non-coding RNA is filed under the name Meleagris gallopavo (turkey). RNAcentral's name for it is "lncRNA (ENSMGAG00000022053.1)". The record is from RNAcentral. Lineage: Eukaryota; Metazoa; Chordata; Aves; Galliformes; Phasianidae.